AUACAAUGCAGAAAAUAUGUUCAUCUUCAGACAUCUUGUUCAAUGUUUAGGCCUUCUCUUGAUUUAGAUGGUUCACACCUGGAAAAUUAAGUGUGUUUGGAUUUCAAAUUUAGGCUUUCUCUUGUUUAUAUAAAAUAUGCAAAAAUAAUAAUUUCAUUUGAAACUCAAUUUCAACCAAAUCAAUUAUACAUAUCAACUACCAAGUUUAUUUAAAAUCACACGUGUCAAAAUGCUCAACAGAAGAUGUUGAAUUGACUCAAACGUAUUUUUAAACCAUUUUAUAAUGAAUGCCAAACACACUAAAAAAUAGUCUAUAUGUAACCAUGCAAAUAUAUUAUCCUCAUAAACUUUCUUAAGUGUGUGUGUGCGCGCACAAGUAAUGUCUUCCUCAAAAUAUAGCUCUGAGAUUUCUUCAAGCACACACACUAACUCUUAAUACUGAUGCUUUUGGCAGUUGCUCAGAAUGAUGUGGAGUCGUCCAAAAUUGCCUUUGUGUCUUCAGCAUCUGCAAUUGAGAAGUGGACCUCGUUGACAGGGCUGGUUGGUAAACUUAAAGGAAUUUGAACCUUGAGUGAAGAAGCUACAAGAAAUUUUAUUUCAUCUUAGAUAUAGAGAAUUCCAUUAAUUUUCUCUGCUGGCUCACCAAAUUUUGGUGUCUUGGGGGCAGUCCCAUCACAGCUUUAUUUAGGAAAGAGAAAGACCAACAAGCUCAUUUUUCACGGAUCAUGAAUGAAGUUUGAGCUUGGAUGUAAAUUGUCUGGCACAAAAUUGUAAUUUUAAUUGUAAUGUCAUUGAAAAUUUGACUACAUGCAAUAUUGUUGUUCCCUCAAACUACUGAAGGAUAAUUAACUGCAACCAUGUCACCACCCAAACUUUAGCCAUUAAAAAAUGUCACGGCUAAGGCCACAACCAUAUUCAAGGCUAAUGGUUAAAAUUAUUAUCAUCAUUGGCUAAUUAAAUAUGAAAAUGAAAUAAAACAUGCAAAUAGGCUCCAAAUAAAUGAGACUUGGGGCAUGACGUAGGAUAACACUGCAAAGGACAUGGCUUCAGAAAGAAAAAGAAAGAAAAAAAGCGCUGCAAAGGACUUCACCUUUAACUCACUGCAAGUCGUCACUUUGAAUUUUUUAUUUACCAAACACAUACUUGAAUUGGAGUAAACACAUAUUUAGGAUCAAGGUCUCACAUGAUUAUAGGUUCAUAUCACAUUACAGGAAUCUUACAACACAAUGUUACAUGGGAACUAGAAGCUAUAUGUCUCUUCAUAACAUACAUGAUGGUACAUUACACGGCUACUCUAUGAUUGUAUAUGGUCAUUUCAAUGAACAAUCAGAUAAAUGACAUUAACAACAAAAACUACAGUUUCUUUAAAAAAAAAAAAA
Molecule: long non-coding RNA, 1379 nt
Filed under: Medicago truncatula (barrel medic)
Lineage: Eukaryota; Viridiplantae; Streptophyta; Magnoliopsida; Fabales; Fabaceae
Description: long non-coding RNA (MTRU_LNC006815)
Source: RNAcentral